Molecule: unclassified non-coding RNA, 2759 nt
Filed under: Lingula anatina
Lineage: Eukaryota; Metazoa; Brachiopoda; Lingulata; Lingulida; Lingulidae
Description: kelch-like protein 11, transcript variant X2
Source: RNAcentral
AGCGCGUGAAUAUCAUCGGCCAUAUUUCUGCUGACACAAGGCAUCCCCAAGUUGGGAAUGCACGCCUUCGAUGAUUUUAUUUAGUUUAAAAGAUGGCAGAACCACCUGUGUUACUUGGAAGAUACCCUACGGUCUCCUCUCUAGCUUUCAGCAACCAAAGGAGGCCCAAAUCGAUCCUUAGUGAUAUUAGUUCAGAAAGUGAUGGGGGUGCCGAGGAGAGUUCAGACUGUUGGAUGGACAGUCACAGACACCUGACACGUAUGGCCAAGGCUUUGUGGGAACAGAGGAGCCACUCCACCGAUAUAUGUGAUAUCACUGUGACUAUUGAUGGAAAGGCAGUGAAGGCUCACCUGUGUGUACUGAUGUGUUGUCCUUACUUCAGUUCUCUCUACAGCAGUGGCAUGAAGGAAAGGCUGUCAGGCCAGGUUGACCUCAGUGGUGUCACCUCCCCUGAGACUUUUGAGACUGUGUUGGAGUACAUCUACCUGGGCAAGGCUGUUAUAACAGAGGACAAUGUCUCCAGUAUUCUACACCUGGCUGACUAUCUCCAGCUGGAGGGACUGAAAGACAUGUGCUCCCACCACUUCAUCAGGAAUGGGGUCACCUCCAAGAACUGCCUCAGACUCUGUAUACUAGCCAGCAUGUACGGAUUGCACUCCCUUUACGAUCAGGCCAACCAACGACUGCGUGCGUAUCUGCACGAGGCGUUGAAGGAAGACGACGUUGUGGACUUGUCGGCAGAGUCAUUGCUCGACUUGCUGAAGGAUAAAAAUCUGAAAUACGUGCCAACAAUGGUGUUUUUCGAGGCCUUGAUAAAGUGGGCCAAGCACAAAGAGAUGGAAAGGAGGAAGGAAUUCAAGACGCUAUUCUGUGCCAUAGACCUGUCUAGCGUAAGUUGCAAGGACAUGGAGACAGUGAUCAGAUACCAGGAGCUGGUGUCCAGCGACCCAGACUGUGUGAAACACAUAGAGAACUAUGACUUGGACUUGUCCCUGGGGAAGAUCCACCCCGACACAGAGGAGAAGGAGGUGAUCGUGAUCUCAGGGGGGCGACACACCCCGGACGGCACGCCCCACGCCCAGAUGUAUGGGUUCGUCAUCGAGGACUCUAAAUGGGUGCGAUUGCCCCCGAUGCCAUUCCGUAGUGAUGUCCACGUGUGUACCACGUUGAACCAGCGUGAUUUGUAUCUCGUCCGUCCCAUGCACAUGACGUGGGAGUUUUACAAAUUCCAGGAGAAGGACUCUCAGUGGAGCUCUUCCACCACCGUGCAAGAACCUCUGAUGUCUUACGCCUCCAGGACCAUCAUAUGCUCCGUCACAUGUCGCGGAAUGAUUUGUAUGCUCAAAGACAGAAGCAUGUAUUUCACAGGCAAGCCAUAUCUCUGUUGUUUUAAUCCCCUGAAUACACACAUCGAGAGAUACUUUCCUUUUCAAGACACUUCACUAAUCCCAACCAUGUGCCAACUGGCUUCUGUACUAGACCGUUAUGUUUGUCUGCUUGCCAAGUGUGCUGACUCCAGCCGUAUCGGGCGCGUAGAGACGGUCAGAUUUUACGUCGUGGACCUGCAGGACUGCAUCACGGAGGAGUACUCGCGUGGGGCCCAGUACGGAGAGAUGAUGCACGUGACGGGUCAAAAGAUUUACAUCACCUCACCAGGAAAGAGAUUCAGCAAGGUUUUCGACAUGGAGCUCAAGAGCUGGAAAAGAUGUCGGCGGAGUUUGCCUCCUUUUCCAGACGAACCAUCCCGUAUCAACUGCAUGUCCGUCCCUCACAAGGGGGCCAUGUUUGUGUUCGGUGGGAUGGACCGUGAUGUUCGAGAUGCCCCUCCCCGCAACGGCCAUGUAAUAACCCCUUCAAAUUACCUCAGUUGUUACAAGUACAUGGAGAACCAGGACAGCUGGGAGAGGCUGCCGGAUGCCCCGAGUCAGUUUCACGACAGCUGCGCCACGGUGGUCACUCUCCCGUCCAGCAUCCUCCACUGCACUCCUGACUGUCCUCACUGUGUGGAGAAGUACAAGUUCCAUGACCCCAUCUUUGACAGCUAUGCAAUGAGGGAGAACAUGAUGUACGAUGAUGAGGACGAGGAUGACAUCAGCACGGAAGACGACUGGUCGGACGGGGAGUUGGAUGAUAUAGGACCUGGAGGACCAGAGGACUGCUGUAUUAUGUGACAUCUGGUGACACAAGUGAUGUGGUAAAGUGAGGCUCAAGCCAGUGAUAAGGUCAAGGUCAAAUGAUCAAGGUCAAGGCCAAGGGGAACAAAUGAAAACAAAAAUAACAGUAUUACCAUACGAUGUUUCUUUUUUUCAUCAUGGGAAGGCACACAUCUUUAGUUUUACAAAAAUUCAACCUUGGACAUUGAGCAGUGAGAGAUUUAUUCUGAAAGAGAAAGCCGGCAGUGACCUGCUUAGAAUAUUUUCGUUGGAGUAAGAGGCAAAGUACAGGAAAUACUCCUUAUUUUGUAACUCCAUCAUAACCGAUGAAAGUGUGCCAUGCAGUGAUGUUCAAUAUUCUAAGUUUUAAUGUCUUCUUUACUGCAGUGUCUGGUUCUCUGUUUUGUCAACAGGAUAUUUUUCUCUUUUUCUCUCUUUCUGUUAUCCAUGCAUUACUUUUUCAAGGAUUUUUAGAUGAGAAAAGGAACAUUUUGGAUUUUUAUGCAUUUUGAGUGUAAAAGAUGCUGUGCACUAACAAUGCAACAAGGACGGAUGUGUUUUGCUGCUAUAUGAAAGGCAGUGGUGGCAUUUUUUUAAUUCAUUUGA